This 1601-nucleotide ribosomal RNA is filed under the name Aminicenantes bacterium SCGC AAA252-G04. Its description in RNAcentral is "bacterial LSU rRNA". It matches the Rfam family "Bacterial large subunit ribosomal RNA", at positions 1358 to 2925 of the family's 2925-position model. The record is from RNAcentral. Lineage: Bacteria; Candidatus Aminicenantota.
AGGAAGGUCAGUCCACUCAGGGUUAGUCGGUGCCUAAGCCGAGGUCGAAAGACGUAGGCGAUGGACAGCAGGUCAACAUUCCUGCACCGCCUGAAAAACGUUUGUACGAUGGGGAGACGCGGGAGGAUAAGCAUACACACGGCUGGAAAUGUGUGGCCGCCAGGUAGAGGGAACUUCCAGGUAAAUCCGGAAGUUCUUAACCUCGAGCACGGCGGGGAAGAUUUCCUUCGGGAUUUCCAACUUGUUGAAUCCAUACCGUCAAGAAAAUCCUCUAAGGAGUAUUUCAGGUGGCCGUACCGUAAACCGACACAGGUAGAUGAGGAGAGAAUCCUAAGGCGUACGUGUCAACCCUCUUUAAGGAACUCGGCAAAUUAACCCCGUAACUUCGGAAUAAGGGGAGCCUCGUUAGUGUUGUAUCUCAACUUGCUUGGGAGAAGCAUGAGGAGGCCGCAGAAAAAUGGCCCAGGCGACUGUUUACUAAAAACACAGGUCUCUGCAAAGUCAAAAAAACGACGUAUAGGGACUGACGCCUGCCCGGUGCCGGAAGGUUAAAGGGAGGGGUUAGCUUUCGGGCGAAGCUCUGAUCUGAAGCCCCGGUAAACGGCGGCCGUAACUAUAACGGUCCUAAGGUAGCGAAAUUCCUUGUCGGGUAAGUUCCGACCCGCACGAAUGGCGUAACGACUUGGGCACUGUCUCAAGGAGGGGCACGGCGAAAUUGUAGUACCGGUGAAGAUGCCGGUUACCUGCCGCUGGACGGAAAGACCCCGGCACCUUAACUGCAGCGUAGCAUUGAAUUUUGGGUUAUUAUGUGCAGGAUAGGUGGGAGACUUUGAAGCCCUAACGUAAGUUAGGGUGGAGUCGUCGGUGAGAUACCACUCUUAAUAUUCUGAGGUUCUAACCUACAUCCGUUAUCCGGAUGAGGGACAGUGUUAAGUGGGUAGUUUGACUGGGGCGGUCGCCUCCCAAAAUGUAACGGAGGCGCCCUAAGGUUCCCUCAAGCUGUUUGGAAAUCAGCUGAAGAGUGCAAAGGCAUAAGGGAGCUUGACUGCGAGACUGACAAGUCGAGCAGGUAGGAAACUAGGGCUUAGUGAUCCGGCGGUCCCGUAUGGAAGGGCCGUCGCUCAACGGAUAAAAGGUACGCCGGGGAUAACAGGCUAAUAGGGCCCAAGAGCUCAUAUCGACGGCCCUGUUUGGCACCUCGAUGUCGGCUCAUCGCAUCCUGGGGCUGAAGCCGGUCCCAAGGGUUGGGCUGUUCGCCCAUUAAAGCGGUACGUGAGCUGGGUUUAGAACGUCGCGAGACAGUUCGGUCCCUAUCCACGGUAGGCGUAGGAAAUUUGAGGGGGUCUGUUCCUAGUACGAAAGGACCGGAAUGGACAAACCUAUAGUGUACCAGUUGUCCCGCCAGGGGCAUAGCUGGGUAGCUACGUUUGGUUGAGAUAACCGCUGAAAGCAUAUAAGCGGGAAGCUCGCCCCAAGAUUAGAUUUCCCUUCCCGAGUAAUCGGGCUAAAGGUCCCUUGUAGACUACAAGGUUGAUAGGCUGGGUGUGUAAGUCCGGUAACGGAUUGAGCUAACCAGUACUAAUAGACCGUGAGGCUUGACC